ACUGCUCAGUAACACGUAGUCAACAUGCCCAGGGGACGAGGAUAACCUCGGGAAACUGAGGAUAAACCUCGAUAGGCCAUGAUUUCUGGAAUGAUUCAUGGCUGAAACCUAUAUGGCCCCUGGAUUGGACUGCGGCCGAUCAGGCUGUUGGUGAGGUAAUGGCCCACCAAACCUGUUACCGGUACGGGCUCUGAGAGGAGGAGCCCGGAGAUGGGCACUGAGACAAGGGCCCAGGCCCUAUGGGGCGCAGCAGGCGCGAAACCUCUGCAAUGGGCGAAAGCCUGACAGGGUUACUCUGAGUGAUUUCCGCUAAGGGAAUCUUUUGGCACCUCUAAAAAUGGUGCAGAAUAAGGGGUGGGCAAGUCUGGUGUCAGCCGCCGCGGUAAUACCAGCACCCCGAGUGGUCGGGACGAUUAUUGGGCCUAAAGCAUCCGUAGCCGGUCCUGCAAGUCUUCCGUUAAAUCCAGCUGCUUAACAGAUGGGCCGCGGGAGAUACUACAGGGCUAGGAGGCGGGAGAGGCAAGCGGUACUUUAUGGGUAGGGGUAAAAUCCGCUGAUCCAUAGAAGACCACCAGUGGCGAAGGCGGCUUGCCAGAACGCGCUCGACGGUGAGGGAUGAAAGCUGGGGGAGCAAACCGGAUUAGAUACCCGGGUAGUCCCAGCUGUAAACGAUGCAGACUCGGUGAUGGGUUGGCCUCGCGCCUGCCCAGUGCCGCAGGGAAGCCGUUAAGUCUGCCGCCUGGGGAGUACGGUCGCAAGACUGAAACUUAAAGGAAUUGGCGGGGGAGCAC
This 791-nucleotide ribosomal RNA is filed under the name uncultured archaeon. RNAcentral describes it as "bacterial SSU rRNA". It matches the Rfam family "Archaeal small subunit ribosomal RNA", at positions 85 to 879 of the family's 1478-position model. The record is from RNAcentral.